Equus caballus (horse) is the source of this 3715-nucleotide long non-coding RNA. The record is from Ensembl. Lineage: Eukaryota; Metazoa; Chordata; Mammalia; Perissodactyla; Equidae.
GGCCCCUCCUGGACCUACCGAAGCAGAACCUCUGGGGGUGGGCCCUGGCAUCUGUGCCUUAUCGAGUUUUCUGGUGAUUCGUAUGACUGUUAAGGUUUGACAAGCACUGACCUACAGGGGUGCCCCACCUCUGCCCAGGAGCACUCCCAUCUCCGGAUCCUACAGGAGGCCUCCCAGUACUUCCUACCCCCAGGGCAAACCAAUGACAAGACCCAUCAGGUACCAGAUCAAAAGGGGCAAUAGACUUACCAUGCGUAAAUAAUAUACCCUGCAAGUUAUUCUCUGUGGUUAUCAAAACCGUGCUGGGCUGCAUCAAGCAGAGUGUUAUGGGCUGAACUGUGUCCCCCCAGAACUCAGAAGUUGAAGUCUUAACUCCCAGUACUGCAGAAUGUGACUGCAUUUGGAGACAAGGCCUUUAAAGAGGUAAUUAAAUUAAAAUGAAGUCAUUAGGGUGGGCCCUAAUCCAAUAGGACUGUCUCCUUAUAAGGAGAGACUAGGACGCAGACACAUGCGUGCGAAGACACAGGGAGAAGACGGCCAUCUGUAAGCCAAGGAGAGAGGCCUGGAACACAUCGUUUCCUCAUAGCCCUCAGAACGAACAGCCCUGCCCUCACCUUGGUCUCGGAACACCAGCCUGCAGAGUUGCGAGAGAAUGUGUUGCUGUUGGUAGAGCCACCCACUCUGUGGUGCUUUGUCACACGGCCUAGCAAACCACUACAUAGCACAAACAUCUACUCGCCUCGAAACAAUGAACUCUGAUGUACAAAAUGUUCCCGAGAGACAGCUUCUGAGAUAGAUAAUGUUUAAAGAAAAGAAGGAGUGCCUUACUGAUCACUUCAUAAGAUGAGGACCCCUUCCCACUGUUACAAGACCACAGACCCCAGCAGCACAGAACUGCUCUCUACCCAACCCACGAGCCACAUGAAUCACUCAGUGACAACUUUCACACAAUUGCACCUGUUUCCGACAAUGAGCGCAACUAUAUAAUUAAAUAAAUUAAGAAGGCAAGGCCACUGGAUCAGAUAGCUUAUCCUUAGAUCCAUGAAUAUAUUUGGCAGGAACAUUAAGUCUUGAUAAAGAUGGUUCCAGAGUGUUUAAUCUGAGUUGUUGUCAGAAGCCGUGUCUGGAACAACCACUUCACUGUGAAGCCCAAAGCCCCAGUGAGACCUUGUCUGUCCCUGUGGCUGUUGGGAUGAGAGCUCUAGGGACCGGGGGAAGGGGGUGGCAGAGAGCAACUGACUUCCAUUUAAACUCAGUUGUCUGCCCAAGACUUCCAUUUCAUUGAAAUUGGCCCAUUCUGGCAUUGUCGACUAGGGAAGAAGAAUGCAUUUCCCCCAUGUCCCCCACACAGGCCAACCUGAGUGUCCGGAAAAUAGCCUCCCACAGGGGGAACCUAUGAAUGACCCUGCUAUCAAGAAACACAUCCAAUGAUCACCUGAUAUGGGAGGCAUCGACUCAUUGUGGUACUUUAACUGCCCACCCAUCUGUAGAACACAGAAGACCAGGAGCAUCAAUGAUUCCCAGCUUCUGACACAUAACGCUGAUUUUCAGAGAAAAGAAAAUUAUUUAAGCCAAAUUGCAUAACUAAUAUCUAAUCUGUAAACAUAUUUGAAACUUGGCAAAAAUCAGAGCUAGCUGGCCUUGAACCUGCAGCCCUGUGCAUCUGUGCACAGGUGGGAGUCCUGAGCAUAUUCUCUGAUGGCUGCCCAUAGGCCACGAGAUGUCAUCAUAUGGACCUGUCCAGAGGUCCACAAUUUGGGCCCUGCACAGAGAAUACAAUAAAUCGAUUGUGUGGGCUGACGAAUUACGUACUGAAGGAGAAGUUCACUCUAGGGUGGGCAUUAACCUGCAGAUGACGGCUGCCCCAGUGGAGAGGCGGUCAGACGCCGGUUCGGCAGGCCUGCUUGCCUCUGUGCUGGAGGUGGUGCAGCCCUGAGCAAAGUGCGCUCCAGUGCGGACCUCCUCAAAAGGGGUCAGGCAAGGCCAAGAAAAAAGCCCACUGACUCAAUCUCCACAUAAACAAGAUGCAAAAUUUCUUGAAAGGUCUGCAGGAAUCAAAGCACCUGUUUUGACAACUGUGCCCCAGGGCGCGCUGCCUAGCAGACAGGAGUUGGCUAAGCCGAGGAAAGAGGAGGACACUCACCGAGAACUGGACCCAAUUCUCACGUCACACCACAAGGCGGGAGAUGGAGCUCAUUUUACAGAUGAGGAACCCGAGACCUGGAUUACAUGCCUCUGCCAAGUGGGAGGAGCCAGCACUGGACAUGGGUGGUCUGACUCAAAUCCAGCCCUGUGGGCGACAUGGGGACUAAUCCCUGCCACAAAAAAAUAUCCCCCGUGCACUAGCCACCAGCGGUCAGCAAUAGCUUUUGUUUUUAGGGGAAUCAGAGGACACUCUGGUAGCCAAUUUCCAAGAUCCUCUCUUCCUGGCAUCCACCCCUCCCACACUGAGUCAAGGCUGGCCAUUAUGACUAGUAGAAUGUGGCAUGAGCACGGUGUGACCUCCAAGACUAGGUCAUAAAAAGCAGUGCAGCCUCCUCCUGGGUCUCUUGAAUCGCUCCCCCUGGGGGAGGCCAGCUGCCAUGUCUUGAGGACACUCAGGCAGCCCUGCGGAGAAGCCCACGGGGAGAGGAACUGAGGCCCCAGCCGAUGCCAGCACCAACUUUCCAGCCACUUCAGAAGUGGGUCCUCCAGCCCCAGUCGACCUUCAGACGAGUGCAGCCCCAGCCAACGUCUGGUUGCAAUGUCACGAGAGACCCCGAGCCAGACCCAUCCGGCCACACUGCUCCCGGAUUCCUGACCCACAGAAACUGGGAGGGAUAAAAAGGACUAUCAUCGCUUUCAGUGGUGGGGUGACUUUUUGCACAGGAAUAGAUCAUUAGUACACAUCGAAAUCUCUUUAUUUCCAAAUAAAUAGUCCAGUGCUGUCAGGCCUGGGCACCACCCCUGGCAGUAAGAUGGAGUGGUGAGUAACCCCCCGGCUGCUCCACCCGUCCCUCACCCAGCCACGGGGCCCCAGGAGCUCGGCAGCUCCCAGCUUCCAGUGUGACCACCUUAUGGGUUUGUGUCCACGCUUAGGAACUACAAAAGUGCUCCAUAUUCUGAUGGCCCCAUGCACACGCCUUGAGAAGAAGUGCCAUCCUUGAUUCCUGCUGAAACUACCUCCCUCAUAUCCCAAAUUGGCCUGUUCUUCUCCGCCUCAAAAAAGAAGAUAAAAGGAAAAUUUGCACUCGCCCACCAUUCAGCGAAGGCUUCUGGGUCUAGGCCGGUCCCCCUCUGCUCUCCAGCACCGCCACACAGUGUUCACCCCAGACUCAGUGUCCCUCGGACUGCCAUGUGCUUUGUUCUGCACACUGUGGAUCUGCACGCAGCCGCCUGGCUGGGUAACGGAUAUGCUGGACUGGAACAUCCACAGUGGUUUCUCCACUGGGCUGGGCGUUCUUUCUCUCCACGCGGCUUCCCCAGCAGGGUAGCUCCAUCUCUUCACAGGAGACUCAGGGCUCCUAGGGACGGUGUUCCAAGAAGACGAGCCUAGCAUGAGCUGUUGUCAAGCCUCCUUGUCCUGCUCACUAACAUCCAUUGGUCAAAGCAUGCACAGGGUCAAGGUCAUUGGGAGGGGACAACACAAGGUGUGAGUACCAGGGCUCAUCCGAGGCCACCAAAAUAAAUACAUGUAUGUUGUAAUCAUAAAUAAUAAUAAAUAUGGAUAUACAGG